Cebus imitator (Panamanian white-faced capuchin) is the source of this 355-nucleotide long non-coding RNA. RefSeq lists it as uncharacterized. The transcript is spliced from 3 exons. The record is from RefSeq and is a predicted model, not a curated record. NCBI's taxonomy places the organism in Eukaryota, Metazoa, Chordata, Mammalia, Primates, Cebidae.
UAUGGAGAUGGGAACCUUCACAAACAUCCCUGGGUGGCUCCUGCACAAGCUCAGGUGAUGCAGUGAUGUGGCCUUCCUUCUCCAGACAAGGGAUGCCAAGAACUGGGGAGCACUUGGACACAAUCAUGAAUUCUCUGGGACCGUACACUCUGUUGACACUUAACUUAUGGAUUUAUAUUGAACGUUGCCAAGUCCAAAAGCCACAGAAUACAUAUCAUUAUGGUACAGGUUUGAUUGUGUGCACCAGUGAAUCCUAGCAACAAACACAUGAACUUGGAAGGGGAUCCUUUUCCAAUUGAACCUUCACUUGAGAGCCCAGCCCUGGCCAUCAUCUAAUCUGGAUUCCCAGCCCAGA